Long non-coding RNA from Papaver somniferum (opium poppy), 389 nucleotides. RefSeq lists it as uncharacterized. The record is from RefSeq and is a predicted model, not a curated record. The transcript has 4 exons. NCBI's taxonomy places the organism in Eukaryota, Viridiplantae, Streptophyta, Magnoliopsida, Ranunculales, Papaveraceae.
UGACACUCAGUUUAUACUUGCGAGGUAUUGCGCUGGUGGGAAGUGGACUGCAGUGGGGUUGGCAUCAACUUGUGUGCCUUCUAGAUUACCGGGACCAAAGAUAGUGCCAACUUAUGAAGCUUCAUCUUACCUAAUUGCAGUUAACUAGUAAUUUAUCAGGAUUGUGGUGAAUCUGAUGAUAUGGGGGUCGAGAUAUUAAUUCCCUGCAAAAUGUGUAAACCUCCUGCCAAACACCGGAUUGCCCACAUCGAUUUUUCUUAUGCUCAAAAGCUUUCAACAAAGCAAGCCUGCAAAGGAUUUAAUGAACUAGCUGUUGUUAUUUUAAUGAUGCUUUAUUUCAUCAGAAAGGGUGGAGAACAAAAGCUUCAAUAUUUGUAAGUUCCAUGUAU